CGUCGAACGAAGUAGCAAUACUUAGUGGCAGACGGGUGAGUAACAUGUGGGUAUCUGCCCUUUGGCCUGGAAUAACACGAGGAAACUUGUGCUAAUACCGGAUAAGUCUUUACGGAGAAAGCUUUAUGCACCAUUGGAUGAGCCCGCACUUGAUUAGUUUGUUGGUGGGGUAAUGGCCUACCAAGACUGUGAUCAAUAGCUGAUUUGAGAGGAUGAUCAGCCACAUUGGGACUGAGACACGGCCCAAACUCCUACGGGAGGCAGCAGUGGGGAAUCUUGCACAAUGGAGGAAACUCUGAUGCAGCGAUGCCGCGUGAGUGAAGAAGGCCCUUGGGUUGUAAAGCUCUUUCGUCGGGGAAGAAAAUGACUGUACCCGAAUAAGAAGGUCCGGCUAACUUCGUGCCAGCAGCCGCGGUAAU
This 419-nucleotide ribosomal RNA is filed under the name uncultured Alphaproteobacteria bacterium. Its description in RNAcentral is "bacterial SSU rRNA". It matches the Rfam family "Bacterial small subunit ribosomal RNA", at positions 60 to 524 of the family's 1533-position model. Lineage: Bacteria; Pseudomonadati; Pseudomonadota; Alphaproteobacteria. The record is from RNAcentral.